Molecule: ribosomal RNA, 253 nt
Filed under: uncultured bacterium
Lineage: Bacteria
Description: partial 16S ribosomal RNA
Rfam family: Bacterial small subunit ribosomal RNA
Source: RNAcentral
GACGGAGGGUGCAAGCGUUGUUCGGAAUUACUGGGCGUAAAGGGCGCGUAGGCGGUCUGUUAAGUUCGGUGUGAAAGCCCCCGGCUCACCUGGGGAACUGCGCCGGAAACCGACAGACUCGAGUACCGGAGAGGAGGGUGGAAUUCCUGGUGUAGCGGUGAAAUGCGUAGAUAUCAGGAGGAACACCGGUGGCGAAGGCGGCCCUCUGGACGGAUACUGACGCUGAGGUGCGAAAGCGUGGGGAGCAAACAGG